Molecule: ribosomal RNA, 783 nt
Filed under: uncultured bacterium
Lineage: Bacteria
Description: bacterial SSU rRNA
Rfam family: Bacterial small subunit ribosomal RNA
Source: RNAcentral
CGGCGCACGGGUGCGUAACGCGUAUGCAAUCUACCUUUCACAGAGGGAUAGCCCAGAGAAAUUUGGAUUAAUACCUCAUGGUAUUAUGAAAUGGCAUCAUUUUAUAAUUAAAGUCACAACGGUGAAAGAUGAGCAUGCGUCCCAUUAGCUAGUUGGUAAGGUAACGGCUUACCAAGGCUACGAUGGGUAGGGGUCCUGAGAGGGAGAUCCCCCACACUGGUACUGAGACACGGACCAGACUCCUACGGGAGGCAGCAGUGAGGAAUAUUGGACAAUGGGCGCAAGCCUGAUCCAGCCAUGCCGCGUGCAGGAUGACGGUCCUAUGGAUUGUAAACUGCUUUUAUACGAGAAGAAACACUCCCUCGUGAGGGAGCUUGACGGUAUCGUAAGAAUAAGGAUCGGCUAACUCCGUGCCAGCAGCCGCGGUAAUACGGAGGAUCCGAGCGUUAUCCGGAAUCAUUGGGUUUAAAGGGUCCGUAGGCGGUUUAAUAAGUCAGUGGUGAAAGCCCAUCGCUCAACGGUGGAACGGCCAUUGAUACUGUUAGACUUGAAUUAUUAGGAAGUAACUAGAAUAUGUAGUGUAGCGGUGAAAUGCUUAGAGAUUACAUGGAAUACCAAUUGCGAAGGCAGGUUACUACUAAUUGAUUGACGCUGAUGGACGAAAGCGUGGGUAGCGAACAGGAUUAGAUACCCUGGUAGUCCACGCCGUAAACGAUGGAUACUAGCUGUUGGAAGCAAUUUCAGUGGCUAAGCGAAAGUGAUAAGUAUCCCACCUGGGGAGUA